Molecule: non-coding RNA, 418 nt
Organism: Arachis ipaensis
Lineage: Eukaryota; Viridiplantae; Streptophyta; Magnoliopsida; Fabales; Fabaceae
Source: RefSeq, a predicted model, not a curated record
GACAGAGAGCUCGCGGUGGGGGAAAAGACAGGCGCCGCCGUGCUGCACGAAGCUAUCGCCGCCGUUCCUACCGCCGGUAAGCCUCGGUUAGCACCGCCGAAGCUCCGGCCGUCACCGUCGUUGAGGAAGCUCACCGGAGUUGCUGGAGGUUGCCGCCGCUUUGCCUGGUUGUGUUGAGUCGCGCCGCCAUGCCUGGCCGCCGGAAAACCCCGCUGCCGUCGCCGGAAAACUCUUCCGGCGCCAUUGCCGGAGUCUGGUCACCGCUACUACUUGAGGUGGCUGCCGGGCUGCUGCCGAACCGGUUCGGAGACCGCCGCUGUUCCGGUUUAGCCAUUCCUUCUUCGGUUCGAGUUGUUGAGACUGUUGCGAAAGUGGCUUGGAACAGAGGUUUUGGCUGCCGGGAUUUUGAGGUUUUGAG